RNAcentral lists this ribosomal RNA (492 nucleotides) under uncultured bacterium. Its description in RNAcentral is "partial 16S ribosomal RNA". It matches the Rfam family "Bacterial small subunit ribosomal RNA", at positions 29 to 507 of the family's 1533-position model. The record is from RNAcentral.
AGUGAACGCUGGCGGUAGGCCUAACACAUGCAAGUCGAACGGCAGCACAGUAAGAGCUUGCUCUUACGGGUGGCGAGUGGCGGACGGGUGAGGAAUACAUCGGAAUCUACUUUUUCGUGGGGGAUAACGUAGGGAAACUUACGCUAAUACCGCAUACGACCUACGGGUGAAAGCAGGGGAUCUUCGGACCUUGCGCGAUUGAAUGAGCCGAUGUCGGAUUAGCUAGUUGGCGGGGUAAAGGCCCACCAAGGCGACGAUCCGUAGCUGGUCUGAGAGGAUGAUCAGCCACACUGGAACUGAGACACGGUCCAGACUCCUACGGGAGGCAGCAGUGGGGAAUAUUAGACAAUGGGCGCAAGCCUGAUCCAGCCAUACCGCGUGAGUGAAGAAGGCCUUCGGGUUGUAAAGCCCUUUUGUUGGGAAAGAAAAGCAGCAGGUUAAUACCCCGCUGUUCUGACGGUACCCAAAGAAUAAGCACCGGCUAACCUCGUG